CUGCUUCGUGCACGUGUUAUGUUGCCUUACAAAUGUCCGCUACAAACACUGCUGUUUUACAAAUAUGUAGAAUAUCAUGAAUAUGUAGUAUUUGUGCCUGGCGAGUCCCCCAGACAGAGAAAUGUCACUGUUGAAACCUAGACUUUCACCUGUUUUAACCCAAGAUGUUAUAGACACAUUGAGAAAACAAGGUGUGAGAACUGUGCUUGACUUCUUGGAACACAAUGCAGAAGAAAUGGUGAAAAAAGCUGGCAUGUCCUACAAGGAUGUACUUGCUAUAAGACAUGUACUUCUUGCUCAGUAUUCGGCUGUCCCAGUCAAUGGAGCAGAUAUGUAUGAAGAUGCCUUAAACUCAAUGGCAAUUCUCCCAACAGGGGUAAAGAGUUUGGAUACCAUGUUGGAUGGAGGUUUAUAUACCUCUGAGGUCACAGAAUUAGUGGGACCAGCUGGAGUUGGGAAGUCCCAGCUCUGUAUGUACACGAGUUUGAACAUUUCUCGCAAUCUAAAACAGAAUAUAAUGUACAUUGAUUCUACUGGAGAUUUCUGUAUUCAAAGGCUUCAAGACAUUCUCUAUUCUGAUCAGGUGGAAGAUGAGGAGAUAAUCGAUGUACUUUCAAGGAUAAAGUGUUCUAGAGCAUUUGAUAUAUUUGAAGUAUUGGCACAACUCUGUGAGGUCACAAAUCACUUGACAGCACAGACAAAUGCAUUCUAUCAGCAUUUGAAGUUGGUGAUAGUGGAUAGCUUGCCAGCUGUGGUUUUGCCAGUCCUUGGUGGAGCUCAGACAGAUGGGCACGGAUAUUUAAUGCAUUUAGCAAGAAUGAUGAAGACAUUGGCUGUAGACUUUAACUUGGCUUUAAUGACAACAAACAAUGUAGUGCAGGGAGAAGCUGGGGAGACCAAACCAGCCCUGGGACGUGCAUGGAGUCACAUACCUAACACCAGGGUGGAGAUAAAGAAACAAGACAUUACACCUGAUGGUGAAAACAGGAGAACAGCUGUACUUACCAAAUGCUCAAGACAGCCCACUGGCCUGACAGCAGAGUUCACAAUCACUCCAUCUGGCAUAGAAACAUAUCACAGCUGACAGCAUGUUACAGAGUAUCAGUAUUUCCCAAGGACAAUUUAGGAGAUAGCACAUAUACUAAAGCAAUAGCGUAUGGAUGGUCACGUCCACAAAUUCAAGCAAAGUUAUUAAGCUGGCCCCAACAAAUAGUCCCAGGGAUCCACCAAUG
RNAcentral lists this unclassified non-coding RNA (1232 nucleotides) under Lingula anatina. RNAcentral describes it as "dNA repair protein RAD51 homolog 4, transcript variant X3". The record is from RNAcentral. Lineage: Eukaryota; Metazoa; Brachiopoda; Lingulata; Lingulida; Lingulidae.